This is a long non-coding RNA of Leptonychotes weddellii (Weddell seal), 938 nucleotides long. RefSeq lists it as uncharacterized. Lineage: Eukaryota; Metazoa; Chordata; Mammalia; Carnivora; Phocidae. The record is from RefSeq and is a predicted model, not a curated record.
GCCGCUCCCGGGUCGCUUCUUUCGAAACCCUGGUGGAGGGGGUGGGGGUGCUCCCUCGGGCUUCUCGAGCGCGUGACCGACCCCCUCCCCCGAGUCUAGCUACCCAAAUAAAUCCGAAAUAGGGCUGCCAGGAGGAGUGAAUAGGCCCGAACCUCUGUCCCCCUGCCGCUCGGGCCUGGGAACCGCUCUCCCGAGGGCCGAAGGGUGCCGAGCCGAGCUGACUCAGUGCCCACCCGAGGGUCGAGGCCCCGGGAGGACUUCGGUAGUUGACGCCGCUUUCCCUGAACGCCCUGAUUCACCGGGAGCCAGCCGCAUCACUGCUUCCUUGACUGCGAUUGCGUCAAGAUCCCGCCGAGGGAAACUAAGUGCUGACGGUUUUGCGUUGUAGUUGCUACACUAGAGGCAGAUGGAAGACUGUGAGGAGAGGCUCGUGAACGCACUCGCCAGAGAAACUUCUUGGGCCGGGUUAAUAUUAACUUAGGGACUCGGGACACGGAUUCCCCUGGGCAAAGUGCUGGGACGGGUAAAGGCCCUUCCCUCUGACCCUCUCCUGAGAAGCAGAGCCGCUAUAAAGGCAAUUCAUCUACACUCUGCGUGCCACCAUGUACUCAUUUCCUACCUUGAAGGCUUUGGAGGCCUGUUGUAAAGCCAAAACCAGUUAUUGGGAAGUACUUUGCCUAUGAAAGUCUUGAUGACUUUAAGGAUAAGUCCAUUUGCUGCUCUUACAACUAACUAAUCCUGAUGACAUCUGUAUUUCCUGGUAGACUAGGCUAGAGCAGUGAUACUGAUCUGUAAAAAGUAUUUUCGUCACCUGAAAUCUUAGAGACUCGCAACAACAAAAAACCCCGCAGUACAUCUUUAGCCAUGUUCACUUUUGACAUUGUGUUGUCACUGUUAGGUUGGGUGACAUAAUAAACUGGAAGAACCAUUGUUCAGUC